GGCCGCGCUGGCCGGGCUCCGCCUCCCGCCGGCGGUCAGAGACGCCCCCCACGGUCAGCGCUGGGAGGGGGAGGGGGUGACCUGCAGGAAAUGCCGGGCCGGGUUGCCGAGCUUCAGCCCGGAGCCCCUCCUCAGCAAUGCCAGCCGCUUCUGCUGGCGUCAGGAUGCUGCCUUUUCUGGUGUAAGCUGCAACUCCUCCUGGAAGCGAAAGCUCCGGCGGGAUUUCCUCUCCACGGAGGGUGUAUGUGAGGUCUGAACUGCCCCCAGAGCUGUACUGCAGGCACCUGUCAAGAUCCAUGUCAGUACUAGAGAUGCAAAGAUAAUAUAGACAUAAGGCUUAUAUUCUUCUGGAGGACAUGCAAUCAUGAAAUGUGCGGCUAUAUCAUGGGAUGGUCAAUGCUAUUCUAGAGGGUUCUCUGUUGGAUGGAGAAAUGGCUACAGCAGAAGUCAAAGCAGUCUUCUGUGGGUGAACAUGCUGACUUUUCCAAAGCAGGGCCAGCUUCUGGGUGGAGAUUCUGAGCAGUGGGUGGCUAUACCUUCUUCCACCUCCUCUUUGGUGUUACUAAGAAGGAUUUGGAUUUUUUAUGGGGGCAGGUUGGAAAUUGUUGCCUCCAGUACAUAGUCUGACAGUCUCUCUGUGGGGAAAAGACCUCUUCGAUCUGAGUCCUAGAAAAUCUUUUAGUUACCAUAUCCCUUUUGAAAAAAUUUUCGUAAGAUACAUGUAACAUAGAAGUUACCAUUUCAGCUCUUUUAAGUGUAUCAUUCAAUAGUGUUAAUUACAUCCACAUUAUUGUGCUACCAUCUUCAGACCUCUUUUCUUCUUGCAAUAGAUACCUCAUUCCCAUUAAACCACACUUCUUCUGCAGCCCCCAGUCCCUGACAACCACCCUCUAGUUUUGUCUGUCUGAAUUUGCCUCCUCUAGGUCCC
This 928-nucleotide long non-coding RNA is filed under the name Heterocephalus glaber (naked mole-rat). RNAcentral describes it as "lncRNA (ENSHGLG00000034989.1)". Lineage: Eukaryota; Metazoa; Chordata; Mammalia; Rodentia; Bathyergidae. The record is from RNAcentral.